CAAAUAAGCGGGAGGGAAAAGAAAAAUAACAAUGAUUCCCUCAGUAACGGCGAGUGAACAGGGAAAAGCUCAAAGUUGGAACCUGGUGGGCCUAGCCUACCCGGAUUGUAAACUAAAGUUUUUGGGUCGUUUAGUCAGCCAGAUAAAUAAGUCCUCUGGAAAGGGGCGACAUAGAGGGUGAAAUCCCCGUCUUUGGUCUGAGCAUGAUUAGGCGUUUGGCCUGGAAACGAAGAGUCAGGUUGUUUGGGAAUGCAGCCUAAAAUGGGAGGUAAAUCUCUCCUAAAGCUAAAUAUUGACGAAAGACCGAUAGCGAACAAGUACCGUGAGGGAAAGAUGAAAAGCACUUUGAAAAGAGGGUCAAAAAGUACGUGAAAUUGCUGAAAGGGAACCGUAUAAAAUCAGACUUACUGGUAGGUAAUCAACCUUCCUCUCGGGGAGGGUGCACUUGCCUGCUAUUGUAUGCCAKCAAUACUUUGGUUGGGAGGAAAAAAGUAGGAGAAAUGUAGCCUGGGUUUCGGCUUAGGUGUUAUAGUCUCUUGCAAAAUACUCUCGGCUGGAGUAAGGAACGCAGCAAACCGUAAGGCGAAGAUUUUGGGCGCUUGGAGUUAAUAGUUGGAGAAUUUCUGCUUCGGGUGGUGCUUCAGCUAUUGAUUUUAACUCGCUUAAAGUC
Molecule: ribosomal RNA, 670 nt
Filed under: Cunninghamella echinulata
Lineage: Eukaryota; Fungi; Mucoromycota; Mucoromycetes; Mucorales; Cunninghamellaceae
Description: eukaryotic LSU rRNA
Rfam family: Eukaryotic large subunit ribosomal RNA
Source: RNAcentral